Molecule: ribosomal RNA, 612 nt
Filed under: Triticum aestivum (bread wheat)
Lineage: Eukaryota; Viridiplantae; Streptophyta; Magnoliopsida; Poales; Poaceae
Description: partial small subunit ribosomal RNA
Source: RNAcentral
AUGAUCGCGCUCGGACUGAACGUCGUUGCCAGGGCCUGCGUGUUCUCCUCCGGCACAGGCCGCGACGGCGGCUGCUGGACCAUGGCGCCGGUCGCGGCAGACCGCCGCGUGAAGCCCAUGACAGAGUUAUGCUUGGCGAGGCAUGUCGGGAAUUCUGUCUACUGGACGACCUUGCGCACGGAAAUCAUCACCCUCGACAAGGACACGGCGCAGUUCUCCUGCUCCUUGUUCCCGGACGACAUGUAUUUCUGCUAUGGGCUUGAGUUCGUAGGCUGUGGUGGCGGCAAGGUGAGCAUUGCCCGCCUGGACCAUAGAGAUCUCAACGUUUUCGUCCUCAUGCAAGGCAGACAUGAAUGGGUGCUGGAGAACAGUGUCCCACUGCCGCAGUUGAUCGGCGAGGUUCAAGGUCACGGUUGGUUGAAGCUCAACAUGCCGAAGAAGGUUGUCUCGGUGGGGGAGGGCUCCGUCGUGUUGUGCACGGAGAAAGGCGUGGGGCUCGUCUCCGUCGACCUCGCCACCAUGGAGUCGGAGCGCCUUCACGAUGGGAACAAGUACUACGCGCCAGCGUACAUGUACCAGCUUCCAUGGCCUUUCAUGUACCGGAGUGAAUAG